CAAAUACACAAGGAUGCACUCACCUGUCCCAGGUGAUCGCUGCUGUCUCCCACGGGUGAAAUUGCUGGGGCUUUUCAACACAUGUGUUGCUGGCUCGUUCACCAAGACAAAACCUCACACGUUAUUGGUGCCAUCAGCUACAAGCAAGCUCUGGACACUGCCUGCAAUGCACUGUGUGCCAAUUGCACAGCUGAUCUGCUGCAAUACCCUGUCCUGUUCCCAUCAGGAGGAGGAUCAGGCAAAGGGAAAGACCUGCCUAAGAAGGAGGUUUCUCAAAAAGCCUAAAUACCUAUUAUAUCCAUUCUCUUUGGAAAAGGUAGUUUUCUAAUGCAGUUGAAAGGAUCAGUCUGGCAUUCAUAGGUAGCCUUUAUUAAAUACAUUGAUGCCCUCCAUGUCCCUUGCUUCCUCUCCACACAGUUCCUCUUUCAUUUUCUAAUAAACUGUUG
This 446-nucleotide long non-coding RNA is filed under the name Junco hyemalis (dark-eyed junco). RNAcentral describes it as "lncRNA (ENSJHYG00000009313.1)". Lineage: Eukaryota; Metazoa; Chordata; Aves; Passeriformes; Passerellidae. The record is from RNAcentral.